AACCGUUAAUCUUCCUGGACAGAUGGUUAAUAUCUUCUGCCCACCACAAAUGUGAAGAAGAAAGUCCAGAGGGUGCCUGAAUAUCCAUCUGUACAAGCAGUACUCCGGUGUUCCCCUCACAGAUGCAUUAAGCCUUAGGUGAGAUGGCAGGUGCUGGAGAGCGCAAGGGGAAGAAGGAUGACAACGGCAUUGGCACAGCCAUCGAUUUUGUGCUAUCCAAUGCCCGGCUCGUGUUGGGUGUGGGCGGAGCUGCCAUGCUGGGCAUUGCCACUCUGGCUGUCAAACGAAUGUAUGACCGGGCAAUCAGUGCUCCCAGCAGCCCCACCCGCUUGAGUCAGUCAGGAAAGAGAAGCUGGGAGGAGCCAAACUGGCUGGGGUCCUCAUCACGUUUACUGAACCAGGAUAUGAAGACAAACCUAAGCCGUUCCCUACAGACCCUCCCCACUGACCCUUCAGCUUUAGACGCAGAUGCGUUCCUACCUGCAAAGCCCAAACCGUCUGCCAAGAGGAGCCAAGUAGAAUUGAAGAAGUCGCACCUCCGCCUGUCCCUGCAAGAAAAACUCUUUGCCUACUACCGGAGGAAAGUGGCUAUCCCUGCAGAAGAUCAGGCCCGGGCCAAGCAGGCAGCUGUAGAUAUCUGCGCUGAACUGCGUAGCUUCCUACGUGCCAAGAUGCCAGACAUGCCCCUGCGUGACAUGUACCUCAGUGGCAGCCUGUACGAUGAUCUGCAGGUAGUGACAGCUGAUCACAUUCAGCUCAUUGUGCCUCUGGUCUUGGAGCAGAACCUGUGGUCAUGCAUACCAGGUGAGGACACCAUCAUGAACAUCCCUGGCUUCUGCCUGGUACGUCGGGAAAAUCCAGAAUACUUCCCCCGUGGGAGCAGCUACUGGGACCGCUGUGUGGUGGGGGGCUACCUCUCCCCCAAGGCUGUGGCAGACACCUUUGAGAAAGUAGUAGCAGGCUCCAUCAACUGGCCAGCCAUUGGGUCUCUACUGGACUAUGUGAUCCGUCCGGCAGCGCCCCCAGAGACCCUGACACUGGAAGUCCAGUAUGAGCCAGAGCGGCACCUUCUUAUUGACUUCCUACCAUCCCUGGCACUGGGUGACACCAACCUGGUGGCCAAACCCCACCGAUUGGCCCAGUAUGACAAUCUGUGGCGACUGAGCUUGCGGCCAGCGGAGACAGCUCGCUUGCGGGCCCUGGACCAAGGCGAUUCUGGCUGCCGUUGCUUGUGCCUCAAGAUUCUCAAAGCUGUGUGCAAGUCAAACCCAGCACUGGGCCGCCUCACUGCCAGCCAGCUCACCAAUGUCAUCCUGCACCUGGCCCAAGAGGAGUCUGACUGGUCCCAAGAUGUGCUAGCUGACCGCUUCCUGCAGGCAUUGAAGGGCCUGAUUGGCUACUUGGAGGCUGGUGUCUUACGCAGUGCUCUGAAUCCCAAGGUGAACUUGUUUUCAGAGCUCACCCCUGAAGAAGUGGAUGAGUUGGGCUACACCCUCUACAGCUCCCUCUCAGAGCCACAGAUUCCCCAAACUUACCAGAAUUGAGCUCUGGUGAAUCUCCAGGAGAAAAUGUCAAAGCCAAGGGUCUUCCAUCAGAAAUGACUUGCAGCUUGCCCCCUGGAGUUCAGCCUUGAAGACAACUUCAUGGUGGGAAGAAGCUGCUGCUGCUGCAGUGGAGCAUAGAAUGAGUGGGCCACUGAGAGUUUUGUGGAUAAUAAACACCUUGAAUCACACCCCAAAAUGGGCAAGUUGCUAGUGCAGAAUACGGAGCAAAGGAGCUGGGUUCAUCAUACUGGGCUGCCCUAUUUAAGAGGCGAGUAGCUAUUUUUUGUACUAGUUCAAGCUUCCGCAUGCUCAAGUAGAGUCUUGAGAGUGUAACUGGCUUAAUGGUUUAAUGAUUUAAAUUUUGCUUUUGAAUUGCUUAAACGCAAGUGGUACGAACUGUGCUUUCAACGACUACACCAGGAUAAAUGACCUGCAGCAUGGCUGUGGCUGGCCUGAGUCAGCUGAGUUGGACUCAUGGGACUCAGGCUGCAGGGCUAAAAAUUGCUGUGUAGAUGUUCGGGCUCAGGCUGAAGCCUGGGCUCAGGGACCCUCCCCCAAAUGUCCACACAGCAAUUUUUCAAUCCGGAGCCCGAGACCCACAAGCCCACGUCAGCUGACCCAGGCCAGCCACAGGCUUUUGUAAUCCCUGUGUAGACAUACCCUAAAUCAAUUAGGAGGAUAUGUGGAGUGGAGGAAUCCGACACAGAGUAUUUCAGUUUCAGGUCUUAGAUUCCAGUUUAGCUCAGUUGUGCUGGAAGAUUAUUACUAUUGGAAACUUUGAGUAUCUAUGUGAAAUUGUUAUACCAAUAAAAUAAAAACCAGCAGGAUCUUUUUAAAGGGGAAAAGGCAAAAUGCCACAUUUAUUGUGACUACAGAAAGAAUCAUAGUAAGCAGUUAGUUAUAGCUUUAACAUUCCAUUCAAUUUCAUAUUUAUUCACACAUUCAUUCAUACACACACACAGGUUCUGCAAGGUUGUUAUCAUAGUUAUCAGCCUUAGAGUUGUUCAUGCCAAGCCACUGGCCAGGUGGCCUGGACAUGAGGCGGGAGCAGGGCCUUGUCAGAUGCUCGUCUGAUGCUCCUGGAAGUUGGUUUGCAGAAUCAGACCCCAAAGUUCUCACCUUCUAGAGUCCAUUUUUAUAGGAAUUUCUUCCUAUGCCAGUCUAUGGGAAUUGCUUCAUCAUGCUGUUGCUGAAUCAGUCAGCAGAUGGCACAUUCCUGAUGGCUCUGUGCUGCCAGAUGUUAUCUUGUUCUUUGGUUCUCCCAUCCUUGAGGCUGUUGGGUGGAUUCCAGUCUGCCCUCUGGGGGUCCUCUGGUUAUUUCCACUUGACGCCUUCUUCAGGUGAUGGACACUGGAUUCUUAGGCUGGCACCUCCCUGAUCAUUCAGUUAUUAUCCACACCAAGCAUCCAUCCACAUACAUCCUCUAUCUCUGUUUUAAUCACAAUUGAUAACAAAGCGAGAUGAAUACAACAAAAGGGCGGGGAGUCUCUGGGUGCUGUUUCUGUUGUUACAGAGUAUUACUUUGAGUCUCUCUCUCUGUGUGUAGUUGUUGUUACAAAGAAUUGCUUUGAGAACAGACUCUGUCUUAGAAUGUACUAACACAAUAGCAGCUUGCAAGUUUCACACAGAGAGGGAGAGAAACAGUACCAAAAACCAAGAGACCUCUUAAUUAGUAAUACCCUGGAAUUUAAACUAUGGGGAAUCAAACUCAUUUGUGAUUUUAAUACAGAACUUCUUUAAUAUGAUUCAACAUAAUGAACUGUUGGGUAUCUCAAUCCCAUUCCUGCUGGAAUCUUUGCUCACAUAACAAAAACCACAUCAUUGACACUACCAGACAUUGCUGACAGUCUCACGGGAGAGGCCAAGGACUGAAUGGGCCAUGAAGACUGAACUCUCAUCCUUAGAGGUGGGGUUCCUCCUGUAGGAGGAACUCAGGUGGGUGGUUGUGGGAAAGAAAAUUUUCGGAGAAACUGUCCGUAUUCUGUAGAUGAUGGGCACGUAGCUAUGGCCUCACAGUGAAAUGGAACCAAACUUACUUUUUUAAUUUUGGCUUCACCAUUCUAUAGCUUAGUGUUAAGCAAGAGGAGACAUGUACCUGACCUAUAGCGAUGAUGAUAGCCAUGUGAUAAAUGUUUGUUGUACACAUUUGACCACCUCAUUUUCCCCUAAUCUCUUUCUCCAGGAUUUACAAGCACACCCCCAGCCCCAAGGCAGCUACCUUUUAAAAAAAUCAGUCCACUGGAGCAGUGUUUCCUCUUGAAAUAUUAAUCAUGCUUAUUUCUUAGUGUUUUUCAUCAGUAGAUUCCAAAGCGCUUCACACUCUUUAAUGUGUUCAUUUUCACAACAACCCUGUGAGGUAAGGAAGAAAUAUUAUCCCUGUUUUACAGAGGGGGAACUGAGGCAGAAAUGGUAUGUCAACGUUGCAAUAAAAGACCUGCAGCACAGCCAUGGCUGGUGCAGGUUAGCUGACUCAGGCUCCUGGGGCUAAAAAUUGCAAUGUAGAUGUUCGGGCUCAGGCUGGAGCCUGGUCUCUGGAACCCCGCGAGGUGGGUAGGUCUCAGAGUCUGGGCUCUAGCCUGAGUGUCUAUGCUGCAGUUUUGAGCCUUGAGCCCUGCGAGCCUGUCAGUUAACCCAGGCUCAGACUCGGUGCCACAGAUUUUUUUAUUGCAAAGUAGAUGUACCUAGAGAGACUAAAUGACUUACCCAAGGUCAUGGCAGAGCUGGGAAUUGAACCCACGUCCUAGGCCAGUGCUCUAACCACUGAACCAUCCUUUCUCUCUCAAAUGGGCAAUUUUCCUCCCAAUAUUAUCCUGGCCUGUGGUGACGGGCAAGAUUCAAGGAUCUCAGGAUGGGCAGGAAAAUAUUUUCAAGAUCUUAAAAUGUCAGGAUAUUACAACUAAUAUUUCCUGGUUUUAAAGGUCGACAGAUGGGAGAUUUGCGUUCUUUUCCCAUGGAACCCAGCACUCAGAUGUAGCUCUGAAAAGGCCCUUAAAGGCUUUUUUAGGGACCAACCAUUAUAUUAGAGGUGCUUUACUUUUACUGAAAUAUCUCUCAGCCCUGUUCAGCUGGGCUUAUGAUAAUGAAGGCUCCUGACUCUAGAGCUACAGGGAGACAAGAAACAAUCCCAAUGACAUUUUAAAAUGGUCUUAGAAUAGUUUUUCUAAAACAUAUAUGGUGUAUGCAGAAUCAAAGCUGGCAGGAUGUAAAGGUUUUAUUACCAUUCAUCUGAGAUGAUCUGCAGUACUCACAAGUGACAUAGCCAGAAGUGAGUUAGGUGAACAUUCCAACUGUGCUAAUAAAAUCUUUAUAAUGCAACAUCAAUCUUUAAAAAAUUUCAAAGGUUUGAAACAAGUUGAUGAAGUGAAGCAGUAAGGCAGUGAACAUUUGGAAUGGUUCUCCUUUAUGUAGGAAGUGUCUAAUCAGAAUCAAGACUGAAAAAAAUGGCUUGGUUUACAAAAGUUAAACUUCUCAUGCACUUAGUCCAGUGCUUAAUUUGUGAUGAAAGAGGUGCUGGAACUCAAGCAAUUUUUGUACUUUCAUAACUGAUGUGACAAGCCCAGAGGGGCCAGGGCUAUGAACUGCCAAGCCUAGCUGUGCCAGGGCUCAGCCCUGGCAAGCCCUGGCACAAAUUAAGCACUGUCUUAAUUCUUCUGAAAUACUAGUGCAGAGGGCAGUUUUUAACAUUUAAAAUUACUCUAAAACCCAAAGGUCAGAUAGACUGGUUCAGUAUCACGGACCCACGUAAUGAAGUAUUGCUAACCUAAGUUUCCCUUUAAAAUUAAAUUCUAGCCAUGUUCUUGAUGAAGAGCCUUCAGAGUACAAAUAGAUUGCUGGGGCUGAAAGUGGCACAAUUGGUAUGGUUUUUAAAACUGUAGUUAUUCAUAAUCCCUGUUGACUUCAGGCCAGUUUUACGCUCUUGUCUGCCACUUCAUUCCCCGCCUAUCAAUCUUCACAUCCCCUGGCACUGGUAGAUUCUUCACCCCUCUGAAGGGGUGAGUAGGCCGUAGUACUCGUCCUGCUAGCCCUCUGAUUUCAAUGGGUCCAAUUCUACAAGGUGCUGCCUGCCCGUGGCACCCAUGGUGCUCAGCACCUUGCAGGAUCAGGAUUUACACUGGCAACAACAAUACUGCCACCCCAGUGGAUUAAAAAAAAAACAGACCAAGGGCACCUGAAAAAAGGUGAGAAAUUAGCAACCCAUGAUUCCCUGGGUGUCCCAUGACAAUCUGCAGGAGCACACUGCCUCAAGAUUUGGAAUGCUUAAUCACUGGCUCCCCCCUCCAUUUAAAUGAAGGGGGAGCGAUGGCCAUUAGGAGCAGCACGUCAGCACAGUUUGGUAGUAAUGGCACCCUAGCCUUAUAUUAUUGCCUUCAACCUCUUGAGUUUGUUUAACCCAGGAUCUAGUUAUUACUUCAGAUGCAGGAACCACCUUCAUGUUAUCCGAACUACAUAUUUAUUAUUAUUUUUAGGCUCCUGCUUGUUGACAUUAUCAAUACUAACUGAGGCCCUGUGAUAGGACAUGGUGAAAGCAGUAAAUCAGGUGGCGGUUGUAACAAUACAGCAUGCAGCUUAACCAUGCUUUUGGACUGAAAUGACACUUCAGUUAAAAAAAUUGAACUAUACAAAAUUAACAGCACAUGUAAAAUGGAUUCAAAACUGGCUAACUGGUAGGUUGCAAAAUGUAAUUGUAAACAGGGAAUCAUCAUCAAGUGGGAGUUUUUCUAGAGGGGUCCUGCAGGGAUCAGUUCUUGGCCCUAGAUGAUUUAAUAUUUUUACCAAUGACCUAGAAGAAAACAUAAAAUGAUCACUGAAAAAGUUUGCAGCUGACAAAGAUUGGGGGAGUGAUAAAUAAUGCAGAGGACAGGUCACCAAUGCAGAGCAAUCUGGAUCACUUGGUAAGCUGGGCACAAGCAGACAACAUGUAUUUAAUACAGUUAAAUGUAAAUGUACACAUCUAGGAACAAAGAAUGUAGGCCAUCGUUACGGGAUGGGGGACUCUAUCCUGGGAAGCAGCAGGUUAUGCUUAUAAGAAGCACACAGGAUCUUUUUCAGAGAAAAAGGCAAUAUGCCGCAUUUAUUGAGAAUACAGCAGCACACACCCACAUCCCCCCCCACCCCCCAAAUGAUGUUUAUAGUUACCAGUCCAGAGUCUGGAUGAAUCUAGUGGACAGCCAGAUUGGUCGCAGAGGGGAGCCGGGCUCUGUCGGUUGCGAUCCGAUGCUCCUGGAGUUGUGGCAAGAUGAACCCAAAGUCCCAUGGCCAAGCACCCUGUUCUUAUAGUCUUUUUUUUCUCUGUUGAAGUCUAUGGAUUUUGCAGUGUCAGUUUGUGACCGGUUACUCCUUAUUUGGUGUUAUCUUUUGAUGUUAACAUUCCAAAACACCUCUGAGAUGGUCAUUCUGUCCUGGUUUCGAUUUAAUCAAUUGUCCUGUCUUUAGGCAUGCCAGCCUCCACCUCAGAGUUGUCAAUCUGCCCUUCCUCAAUCAUGGAUGCGCGUUGAUGGUUCUCUGGUGUUAAGUCUCUUCACUCCUCCUUCCUUGACCAUCUGGCUAUAACAAUGGCCUUCACACCUUAUCUUUGCCUGAGGUAACUCUUGGUGCACCCCGGUCUCUGAGCCCCCUUGACGAGCCUGGUUGCCUGUGGUAUUCAGCCCUUUUCACUGGACACUCUCAG
Molecule: non-coding RNA, 7212 nt
Organism: Caretta caretta (loggerhead turtle)
Lineage: Eukaryota; Metazoa; Chordata; Testudines; Cheloniidae
Source: RefSeq, a predicted model, not a curated record